RNAcentral lists this ribosomal RNA (253 nucleotides) under uncultured bacterium. Its description in RNAcentral is "partial 16S ribosomal RNA". It matches the Rfam family "Bacterial small subunit ribosomal RNA", at positions 524 to 776 of the family's 1533-position model. The record is from RNAcentral.
UACAGAGGUCUCAAGCGUUGUUCGGAUUCAUUGGGCGUAAAGGGCGCGUAGGCGGCGGUGUAAGUCUGGUGUGAAAUCUAGGAGCUCAACUCCUAAACUGCACUGGAUACUGCUCUGCUAGAGGACUGGAGAGGAGACUGGAAUUCACGGUGUAGCAGUGAAAUGCGUAGAUAUCGUGAGGAAGACCAGUGGCGAAGGCGGGUCUCUGGACAGUUCCUGACGCUGAGGCGCGAAGGCCAGGGGAGCAAACGGG